UGUUCUCAGCUUUUCAAAUGGUAUUUGGUUCUUUGCAGAAAUUUAUCUUGGGGAUGCUCACAAACUUUGGAAGCAUGGCAUUAGAUCGAAUUCAUAAUACUCUCAAGAUGUUCUGCAUAGCCGAUCCUCCUUAUGACAAAACUCUCCAACAGCUGCAAAGUUUCUUAACGGGUCUAGUUUCUGAAGAGAAGUUGGAACUAAGAGAUGGAAUGUAUUUUUUGAAAAAGUAGUCAACUAACAGAAUUAGGGCCCUACUAAUUUUAGUAAAAAUUAUAAAGGUUGGCAAAAUGUAUUAUCCUCGUGUAACUCUUUUUAUUUUCUUUCUGAUUCGUUUGAGGGGAAAGGCGAGAGUUGAAGUACAACUCUUUAUGCCUCUCUUCGUGUUGUACGAGAUAUCAUGGAAAAAAAGCCCAUAGGUUUGAUCCUGCAGAACUGAAAAUUAAGAGAACAAAUGUGAAGCCUGUGUCAGAGCA
Prunus avium (sweet cherry) is the source of this 473-nucleotide non-coding RNA. NCBI's taxonomy places the organism in Eukaryota, Viridiplantae, Streptophyta, Magnoliopsida, Rosales, Rosaceae. The record is from RefSeq and is a predicted model, not a curated record.